RNAcentral lists this long non-coding RNA (1154 nucleotides) under Aotus nancymaae (Ma's night monkey). RNAcentral describes it as "lncRNA (ENSANAG00000038706.1)". The record is from RNAcentral. Lineage: Eukaryota; Metazoa; Chordata; Mammalia; Primates; Aotidae.
CACUGGGGUUCCCUCCAUCCAGCUCACUGCCAGGAUCACGCCUACAGGUCUAGAUUUGGACACUCCAUCUCCUUCGGGAUCCUGUGGCCAACCUCCACCCACCUCCAAACCUCCCCACCCCCUCGGCAGGUGCGCCCCUACACGUCUCUCUCGCUCCGUAAAGGGUCCCAGGGUUCGCCUUGGUUGACCUGCGCGCCUGCGCACUCCGGGCAGAAGCCGAUUUUCAAAGGCUCCGGUAAGGCUGCGCUAGGGGGCGCGGAGGGGCUCACAGGCCGAAGAACCAACAGAAAAAAGCCGGAAUAUCGGUUUUUAAAAUUUUGGACCGCAGUGCCCACAGGGAAGCAGGCCCGGAUUAUCUUUAAUGGCACUGGUCAGUCACGGGGCCGCCUUAGAGGUAGAGGCACGGGACACUGUCGCCCCUCUGGGUACGUGUCCCCGCCGAGACCCGACCCCACGCGCCCCUACCGACCCCGGAGCAGCCGAGGGACUUGCCGCCGCCCUCUGCGCGCCUGCGCAUUCGCGACGGGGGACGGGCGCUCUCCAGUAUCCUGGCGCCGCAGACUCGGGCUAGGCGAUCCUCCUAGUCGGGUGAGGCUGAAGAGGUGGGCGCGGGGCGCCAGGCGCGGAUGUGGCCGCUGCUUUUCUGAGGCAAAAGAGCACGGGUUGGGCCAGGCUUUGCAGGCCGGACCGGAGGUGGAGAAAAGCCCUGCCAGUUUCCAGAGAAGACGCUUGAGAAGGAGAAACGAAUCGCAGCUGCUCUUCUAAAAAGCCGGUUCCGUCUCUAGCAUCUCUGGACCCUGCUUCUGAAGUAAAUGAACCUUGAGGAAAAUUGACCGGUUCUUGCAAUUCUAAAAUCAUGGCUCAUGUAAGUUGGAAUUUCUCUCUACUUGGAAUUCUUUCAUUUUUUUCACAUUAUGUGAACAUUCUCAUUUGUUAUUCUGCAACUUUCUAACAGAGUCCCAUUCAACAGCUGCUCCCCAGUCUUUCCCAUUCCAGUGAGGGAUGGAGCCAGCCAGAUUCCUAAGUAACCCUGUCUUCUCCAUCCGUAUCUGUAUUAGUCCGUUUUCACGCUAGUGAUAAAGACAUUCCUGAGACUGGGUAAUUUAUAAAGAAAAAGAGGUUUAAUGGACUCACAGUUCCACAUGGCUGGGGAG